This is a small nucleolar RNA of Jaculus jaculus (lesser Egyptian jerboa), 151 nucleotides long. Ensembl annotates it as small nucleolar RNA, H/ACA box 47. Its record names the gene Snora47. The record is from Ensembl. NCBI's taxonomy places the organism in Eukaryota, Metazoa, Chordata, Mammalia, Rodentia, Dipodidae.
UGGAGGAUUGAGAAGGUGGGGCAGCUUUGUACCAUGCUGUCUUCCACUGGUUAAGGCCUCCAAUAGCAAAGGACUGCCCAGGCAGAGGAUGUCCCUCCCUCUACCCCCUUUGGGGGCGGGGGGGUUGCAGCACUGUGCUGGCCAACAUUUG